UGACAGUGGUGGUUCAUGGAUUCAAAUUAAAACAAGGUUGUGAGUGCCCUGAAAAUGUAAAAAAAAAUCAGCUUGCAUAUAUUUAUGUACACUGUACACUAUUAUAAUACAUGUUUUCUUUGCCUGUAACUUUUAUGUAUUGAGCAGAAAUUUAUAAUAAUAGAUAUAUAUAAAAUUGCAAAUGGAAAUGGGUUAUGUGUCAAAGAAACAGCAACCAAACAAAGAGCAGACAACAGUCUACAGCCACCAAUGGGUCUUCUUUGCUUUAUAUUUACAGGAUGGAGAAAGAUGUUCACUAUGAAUCAAAAAUUCAAAACAGAGAACUUUUAUAUAUCAACAAAAACAAUUGCAGUACAUGCACAUAUACAUGUUUAAAAGGUAUGAUAUACAUACAGCAAGAAAACAGUAAUCAAAUGGAAUGUCAAAUUAUUUUGUUUAAAAUAGAAAACAAGAUGACUAGAAUAUAUUAACAUGAUUAGGGUAAGAAAUCCAAAUGUGUCUGUUCAGGGUAACACCAGUGGGUUAUUUUACAAUGCGCUAUGAUUUCAAUCUCACAAAUAUGAAACAAAACAUGAUAGACAAAUAUGAAUUAACACUAUUUUGAUAAUGAAAUAGACUGAAAAUAUUUUACAUUUAACAGUCAGACAAGAAAAUUGCCAAUGGAAUAAAUUUGGAAUGGAAGUUAAAAUUUAUAGUUUAUAGGUCCAAGAAUCAUACACAGACUUUUAAGACCAAAUGAUGGUAUACUUUUAAUAGUUUAAAAGAUUUUAUGCUACAUGUAUUAUCUAAGCUGUAUAAUUUCAAGAUUAGUUUCAUUUGGAUUUAAAAAACCUAAUUUUCCACAAGAAAUGAGGGUUAGUAAUUUAAAAUUUCAUUAAUAAAGAUUUAAAAACAAUAUAAUGGAAUUAACUCUUAAAGCAUGAUGUGCAUCAUAAUAAUAUCCAUGAGAAUGUCAGAAGGUGUUUAAAUAAACUUGAACAUUUUUUUCAGAAUACAUGUAAGAGAAUGACUUAAGCAGACCAUAUUUUUGGGUCAAUGAUGCCCAUAACAAUGAAAUAACAAUAUAUUAAAAUUAUCAUUUAUCAUUUAUCAUUACUUUUCAAUUGAAUCAACACCUUAAAUUGAAUAACAAUUUUUUUUUUUUUCAAUUUUCAGUACACUGUCAGCAUGGUCAGAAGAAGAAUUUUACUGAGGAUUAAAAUUUUUGAU
Molecule: long non-coding RNA, 1209 nt
Filed under: Mytilus galloprovincialis (Mediterranean mussel)
Lineage: Eukaryota; Metazoa; Mollusca; Bivalvia; Mytilida; Mytilidae
Source: RNAcentral